RNAcentral lists this ribosomal RNA (468 nucleotides) under uncultured bacterium. RNAcentral describes it as "partial 16S ribosomal RNA". It matches the Rfam family "Bacterial small subunit ribosomal RNA", at positions 28 to 507 of the family's 1533-position model. The record is from RNAcentral.
GACGAACGCUGGCGGCGUGCUUAACACAUGCAAGUCGAACGGAAGGGCCCUGCUUUUGUGGGGUGCUCGAGUGGCGAACGGGUGAGUAACACGUGAGUAACCUGCCCUUGACUUUGGGAUAACUUCAGGAAACUGGGGCUAAUACCGGAUAGGAGCUCCUGCUGCAUGGUGGGGGUUGGAAAGUUUCGGCGGUUGGGGAUGGACUCGCGGCUUAUCAGCUUGUUGGUGGGGUAGUGGCUUACCAAGGCUUUGACGGGUAGCCGGCCUGAGAGGGUGACCGGCCACAUUGGGACUGAGAGACGGCCCAGACUCCUACGGGAGGCAGCAGUGGGGAAUAUUGCACAAUGGGCGGAAGCCUGAUGCAGCAACGCCGCGUGCGGGAUGACGGCCUUCGGGUUGUAAACCGCUUUCGCCUGUGACGAAGCGUGAGUGACGGUAAUGGGUAAAGAAGCACCGGCUAACUACGUG